AACGAACGCUGGCGGCAUGCCUAACACAUGCAAGUCGAACGAGACCUUCGGGUCUAGUGGCGCACGGGUGCGUAACGCGUGGGAACCUGCCCUUAGGUUCGGAAUAACUCCCCGAAAGGGGUGCUAAUACCGGAUAAUGUCUUCGGACCAAAGAUUUAUCGCCUUUGGAUGGGCCCGCGUUGGAUUAGCUAGUUGGUAGGGUAAAAGCCUACCAAGGCGACGAUCCAUAGCUGGUCUGAGAGGAUGAUCAGCCACACUGGGACUGAGACACGGCCCAGACUCCUACGAGAGGCAGCAGUGGGGAAUAUUGGACAAUGGGCGAAAGCCUGAUCCAGCAAUGCCGCGUGAGUGAUGAAGGCCUUAGGGUUGUAAAGCUCUUUUACCCGGGAUGAUAAUGACAGUACCGGGAGAAUAAGCUCCGGCUAACUCUGUG
RNAcentral lists this ribosomal RNA (433 nucleotides) under uncultured bacterium. RNAcentral describes it as "partial 16S ribosomal RNA". It matches the Rfam family "Bacterial small subunit ribosomal RNA", at positions 29 to 507 of the family's 1533-position model. The record is from RNAcentral.